This 730-nucleotide ribosomal RNA is filed under the name uncultured Lactobacillus sp. RNAcentral describes it as "bacterial SSU rRNA". It matches the Rfam family "Bacterial small subunit ribosomal RNA", at positions 771 to 1500 of the family's 1533-position model. Lineage: Bacteria; Bacillati; Bacillota; Bacilli; Lactobacillales; Lactobacillaceae. The record is from RNAcentral.
AACCGGAUUAGAUACCCUGGUAGUCCAUGCCGUAAACGAUGAGUGCUAGGUGUUGGAGGGUUUCCGCCCUUCAGUGCCGCAGCUAACGCAUUAAGCACUCCGCCUGGGGAGUACGACCGCAAGGUUGAAACUCAAAGGAAUUGACGGGGGCCCGCACAAGCGGUGGAGCAUGUGGUUUAAUUCGAAGCUACGCGAAGAACCUUACCAGGUCUUGACAUCUUGCGCUAACCUAAGAGAUUAGGCGUUCCCUUCGGGGACGCAAUGACAGGUGGUGCAUGGUCGUCGUCAGCUCGUGUCGUGAGAUGUUGGGUUAAGUCCCGCAACGAGCGCAACCCUUGUUACUAGUUGCCAGCAUUCAGUUGGGCACUCUAGUGAGACUGCCGGUGACAAACCGGAGGAAGGUGGGGACGACGUCAGAUCAUCAUGCCCCUUAUGACCUGGGCUACACACGUGCUACAAUGGCCGGUACAACGAGCAGCUAACCCGCGAGGGUGUGCAAAUCUCUUAAAGCCGGUCUCAGUUCGGACUGCAGUCUGCAACUCGACUGCACGAAGCCGGAAUCGCUAGUAAUCGCGGAUCAGCAUGCCGCGGUGAAUACGUUCCCGGGCCUUGUACACACCGCCCGUCACACCAUGGAAGUUUGCAAUGCCCAAAGUCAGUGGNCUAACCAUUUUGGAGGGAGCUGCCUAAGGCAGGGCAGAUGACUGGGGUGAAGUCGUAACAAGGUAAC